AGAGUUUGAUCAUGGCUCAGGACGAACGCUGGCGGCGUGCCUAACACAUGCAAGUCGAGCGGAGACAGUGAGUAGCUUGCUAUGAGCUGUUUUAGCGGCGGACGGGUGAGUAACGCGUGAGCAACCUUUCCCAGACAGGGGAAUAACACACCGAAAGGUGUACUAAUACCGCAUAAGACCACGGGAUCACAUGGUUCUGGGGUAAAAGAUUUAUCGGUUUGGGGUGGGCUCGCGUCCGAUUAGGUAGUUGGUGAGGUAACGGCCCACCAAGCCGACGAUCGGUAGCCGACCUGAGAGGGUGAUCGGCCACAUUGGGACUGAGACACGGCCCAAACUCCUACGGGAGGCAGCAGUGGGGAAUAUUGGGCAAUGGAGGAAACUCUGACCCAGCAACGCCGCGUGGAGGAAGAAGGUUUUCGGAUCGUAAACUCCUGUCCUUGGAGACGAGUAGAAGACGGUAUCCAAGGAGGAAGCCCCGGCUAACUACGUGCCAGCAGCCGCGGUAAUACGUAGGGGGCAAGCGUUGUCCGGAAUAACUGGGCGUAAAGGGCGCGUAGGCGGCUCGGUAAGUCUGGAGUGAAAGUCCUGCUUUUAAGGUGGGAAUUGCUUUGGAUACUGUCGGGCUUGAGUGCAGGAGAGGUUAGUGGAAUUCCCAGUGUAGCGGUGAAAUGCGUAGAGAUUGGGAGGAACACCAGUGGCGAAGGCGACUAACUGGACUGUAACUGACGCUGAGGCGCGAAAGUGUGGGGAGCAAACAGGAUUAGAUACCCUGGUAGUCCACACUGUAAACGAUGAAUGCUAGGUGUAGGGGGUAUCGACCCCUUCUGUGCCGAAGUCAACACAAUAAGCAUUCCGCCUGGGGAGUACGGCCGCAAGGUUGAAACUCAAAGGAAUUGACGGGGGCCCGCACAAGCAGCGGAGCAUGUGGUUUAAUUCGACGCAACGCGAAGAGCCUUACCAGUCCUUGACAUCCCGAUGACCGACCUGUAACGAGGUCUUCUCUUCGGAGCAACGGAGACAGGUGGUGCAUGGUUGUCGUCAGCUCGUGUCGUGAGAUGUUGGGUUAAGUCCCGCAACGAGCGCAACCCCUGUCCUUAGUAGCCAGCAGUACGGCUGGGCACUCUAGGGAGACUGCCGGGGAUAACCCGGAGGAAGGUGGGGACGACGUCAAAUCAUCAUGCCCCUUAUGGGCUGGGCUACACACGUGCUACAAUGGUGCUAACAAAGUGAAGCGAGCUGGUGACAGUAAGCAAAUCACAAAAAUGGCAUCUCAGUUCGGAUUGUAGUCUGCAACUCGACUACAUGAAGCUGGAAUCGCUAGUAAUCGCAGAUCAGAAUGCUGCGGUGAAUACGUUCCCGGGUCUUGUACACACCGCCCGUCACACCAUGGGAGUUGGAAAUGCCCGAAGUCAGUGACCCAACCGCAAGGAGGGAGCUGCCGAAGGCAGGUCUGAUAACUGGGGUGAAGUCGUAACAAGGUA
Molecule: ribosomal RNA, 1481 nt
Filed under: metagenome
Description: bacterial SSU rRNA
Rfam family: Bacterial small subunit ribosomal RNA
Source: RNAcentral